RNAcentral lists this ribosomal RNA (497 nucleotides) under uncultured bacterium. RNAcentral's name for it is "partial 16S ribosomal RNA". It matches the Rfam family "Bacterial small subunit ribosomal RNA", at positions 28 to 507 of the family's 1533-position model. The record is from RNAcentral.
GAUGAACGCUGGCGGCGUGCCUAAUACAUGCAAGUCGAGCGAACAGACGAGGAGCUUGCUCCUCUGACGUUAGCGGCGGACGGGUGAGUAACACGUGGAUAACCUACCUAUAAGACUGGGAUAACUUCGGGAAACCGGAGCUAAUACCGGAUAAUAUAUUGAACCGCAUGGUUCAAUAGUGAAAGACGGUUUUGCUGUCACUUAUAGAUGGAUCCGCGCUGCAUUAGCUAGUUGGUAAGGUAACGGCUUACCAAGGCAAGGAUGCGUAGACGACCUGAGAGGGUGAUCGGCGACACUGGAACUGAGACACGGUCCAGACUACUACGGGAGGCAGCAGUAGGCAAUCUUCCGCAGUGGGCGAAAGCCUGACGGAGCAACGCCGCGUGAGUGAUGAAGGUCUUCGGAUCGUAAAACUCUGUUAUUAGGGAAGAACAAAUGUGUAAGUAACUAUGCACGUCUUGACGGUACCUAAUCAGAAAGCCACGGCUAACUACGUG